CCUACGGGGCGCAGCAGUAGGGAAUUUUCCACAAUGGGCGAAAGCCUGAUGGAGCAACGCCGCGUGGGUGAAGAAGGUCUUCGGAUCGUAAAACCCUGUUGUUAGAGAAGAAAGUGCGUGAGAGUAACUGUUCACGUUUCGACGGUAUCUAACCAGAAAGCCACGGCUAACUACGUGCCAGCAGCCGCGGUAAUACGUAGGUGGCAAGCGUUAUCCGGAGUUAUUGGGCGUAAAGGGAACGCAGGCGGUCUUUUAAGUCUGAUGGGAAAGCCUUCGGCUUAACCGGAGUAGUGCAUUGGAAACUGGGAGACUUGAGUGCAGAAGAGGAGAGUGGAACUCCAUGUGUAGCGGUGAAAUGCGUAGAUAUAUGGAAGAACACCAGUGGCGAAAGCGGCUCUCUGGUCUGUAACUGACGCUGAGGUUCGAAAGCGUGGGUAGCAAACAGGAUUAGAUACCCGUGUAGUC
This 465-nucleotide ribosomal RNA is filed under the name uncultured bacterium. Its description in RNAcentral is "partial 16S ribosomal RNA". It matches the Rfam family "Bacterial small subunit ribosomal RNA", at positions 338 to 795 of the family's 1533-position model. The record is from RNAcentral.